Molecule: non-coding RNA, 95 nt
Organism: Rhodopirellula baltica SH 1
Lineage: Bacteria; Pseudomonadati; Planctomycetota; Planctomycetia; Pirellulales; Pirellulaceae
Rfam family: Bacterial small signal recognition particle RNA
About the family: The signal recognition particle (SRP) is a universally conserved ribonucleoprotein involved in the co-translational targeting of proteins to membranes. Archaeal SRP consists of a 7S RNA and homologues of the eukaryotic SRP19 and SRP54 proteins.
Source: Rfam
GGUGGCGACCCUUGCGACUGUGAGUCGUGAACCUGGUCAGGCCUUAACUGGAGCAGCCAUAAGCGGUGUAACUUUGUGUGAGGGUUGCCGCCACC